GACGAACGCUGGCGGCGUGCUUAACACAUGCAAGUCGAACGGAAAGGCCCCUUUGGGGGUACUCGAGUGGCGAACGGGUGAGUAACACGUGAGUAACCUGCCCUUGACUUCGGGAUAACUUCAGGAAACUGGGGCUAAUACCGGAUAGGAAUCCUUUCUGCAUGUUGGGGGUUGUAAAGCUUCUGCGGUUUUGGAUGUACUCGCGGGUUAUCUUCUUGUUGGUGGGGUAGUGGGUUACCAAGGCUUUUACGGGUAGCCGGCCUGAGAGGGCGACCGGCCAAAUUGGGACUGAGAUACGGCCCAGACUCCUACGGGAGGCAGAAGGGGGGAAUAUUGCACAAUGGGCGGAAGCCUGAUGCAGAAAAGCCGCGUGCGGGAUGACGGCCUUCGGGUUGUAAACCGCUUUCAGAAGGGGAGAAGCUUGUGGUGACGGUACCUGCAGAAGAAGCACCGGCUAACUACGUG
RNAcentral lists this ribosomal RNA (465 nucleotides) under uncultured bacterium. Its description in RNAcentral is "partial 16S ribosomal RNA". It matches the Rfam family "Bacterial small subunit ribosomal RNA", at positions 28 to 507 of the family's 1533-position model. The record is from RNAcentral.